RNAcentral lists this transfer RNA (77 nucleotides) under Mycobacterium avium. Its description in RNAcentral is "tRNA-Ile". It matches the Rfam family "tRNA". Rfam says of the family: Transfer RNA (tRNA) molecules are approximately 80 nucleotides in length. Their secondary structure includes four short double-helical elements and three loops (D, anti-codon, and T loops). Further hydrogen bonds mediate the characteristic L-shaped molecular structure. tRNAs have two regions of fundamental functional importance: the anti-codon, which is responsible for specific mRNA codon recognition, and the 3' end, to which the tRNAs corresponding amino acid is attached (by aminoacyl-tRNA synthetases). tRNAs cope with the degeneracy of the genetic code in two manners: having more than one tRNA (with a specific anti-codon) for a particular amino acid; and 'wobble' base-pairing, i.e. permitting non-standard base-pairing at the 3rd anti-codon position. RNAcentral also lists the same sequence under 4 other names. The record is from RNAcentral. Lineage: Bacteria; Bacillati; Actinomycetota; Actinomycetes; Mycobacteriales; Mycobacteriaceae.
UGCCUGGUAGCUCACCUGGUGAGAGCGCCGCUCUGAUAAGGCGGAGGUAGAGGGUUCAAGUCCCUUCCAGGCAACCA